GUCCACGCCCUAAACGAUGGCAACUGGGUGUUGGGGAAGCGAUUUCUCAGUACCGUAGCUAACGCGUGAAGUUGCCCGCCUGGUGAGUACGGCCGCAAGGUUAAAACUCAAAGGAAUUGACGGGGACCCGCACAAGCGGUGGAUGAUGUGGAUUAAUUCGAUGCAACGCGAACAACCUUACCUACCCUUGACAUGUCCGGAAGCCCGCUGAGAGGCGGGUGUGCCCGAAAGGGAAUCGGAACACAGGUGCUGCAUGGCUGUCGU
Molecule: ribosomal RNA, 264 nt
Filed under: uncultured bacterium
Lineage: Bacteria
Description: partial 16S ribosomal RNA
Rfam family: Bacterial small subunit ribosomal RNA
Source: RNAcentral